Molecule: ribosomal RNA, 845 nt
Filed under: Spegazzinia deightonii
Lineage: Eukaryota; Fungi; Ascomycota; Dothideomycetes; Pleosporales; Didymosphaeriaceae
Description: partial large subunit ribosomal RNA
Rfam family: Eukaryotic large subunit ribosomal RNA
Source: RNAcentral
GGAUUGCCCUAGUAACGGCGAGUGAAGCGGCAACAGCUCAAAUUUGAAAUCUGGCCUCCUCCGGGGGUCCGAGUUGUAAUUUGCAGAGGGUGCUUUGGCUUUGGCGGCGGUCUAAGUUCCUUGGAACAGGACAUCGCAGAGGGUGAGAAUCCCGUACGUGGGCGCCUGCCACUGCCGUGUAAAGCCCCUUCGACGAGUCGAGUUGUUUGGGAAUGCAGCUCUAAAUGGGAGGUAAAUUUCUUCUAAAGCUAAAUACCGGCCAGAGACCGAUAGCGCACAAGUAGAGUGAUCGAAAGAUGAAAAGUACUUUGGAAAGAGAGUAAAAUAGCACGUGAAAUUGUUGUAGAGGAAGCGCUUGCAGCCAGACUUCCCCGUAGUCGCUCACCCGGGCUCCUGCCCGGGGCACUCUUCUGCGGGGAGGCCAGCAUCAGUUUGGGCGGUCGGAUAAAGGCCUCUGUCACGUAUCUCCCUCCGGGGAGACCUUAUAGGGGAGGCGCAAUGCGACCAGCCCGGACUGAGGUCCGCGCAUCUGCCAGGAUGCUGGCGUAAUGGCUGUAAGCGGCCCGUCUUGAAACACGGACCAAGGAGUCUAACAUCUAUGCGAGUGUUUGGGUGUCAAGCCCGGGCGCGCAAUGAAAGUGAACGGAGGUGGGAACCCUCGGGUGCACCAUCGACCGAUCCUGAUGUCUUCGGAUGGAUUUGAGUAAGAGCAUAGCUGUUGGGACCCGAAAGAUGGUGAACUAUGCUUGAAUAGGGUGAAGCCAGAGGAAACUCUGGUGGAGGCUCGCAGCGGUUCUGACGUGCAAAUCGAUCGUCAAAUUUGGGCAUAGGGGCGAAAGACUAUC